GAUGAACGCUGGCGGCGUGCCUAAUACAUGCAAGUCGAGCGAACAGACGAGGAGCUUGCUCCUCUGACGUUAGCGGCGGACGGGUGAGUAACACGUGGAUAACCUACCUAUAAGACUGGGAUAACUUCGGGAAACCGGCGCUAAUACCGUAUAAUAUAUUGAACCGCAUGGUUCAAUAGUGAAAGACUUUUUUCCUGUCACUUAUAGCUGGCUCCGCGCCGCAUUAGCUAGUUGGUAAGGUAACGGCUUACCAAGGCAACGAUGCGUAGCCGACCUGAGAGGGUGAUCGGCCACACUGGAAGUGGGACAAGGUCACGACGACUAAGGGAGGCAGCAGUAGGGUAUGGUCCGCAAAGGGCGAAAGCAUGACGGAGCAAGGGAGCGUGAGUGAUGAAGGUAUUGGGAUAGGAAAACUCUGUUAUGAGGGAAGAACAAAUGUGAAAAGAAAAAUGCACGAAUUGACGGUACCUAAACAGAAAGCCACGGCUAACUACGUG
RNAcentral lists this ribosomal RNA (497 nucleotides) under uncultured bacterium. Its description in RNAcentral is "partial 16S ribosomal RNA". It matches the Rfam family "Bacterial small subunit ribosomal RNA", at positions 28 to 507 of the family's 1533-position model. The record is from RNAcentral.